CACGUAGGGUGCGAGCGUUGUCCGGAAUUAUUGGGCGUAAAGAGCUCGUAGGCGGUUUGUCGCGUCUGCUGUGAAAACCUAAGGCUCAACCUUGGGCUUGCAGUGGGUACGGGCAGACUAGAGUGCGGUAGGGGUGACUGGAAUUCCUGGUGUAGCGGUGGAAUGCGCAGAUAUCAGGAGGAACACCGAUGGCGAAGGCAGGUCACUGGGCCGCAACUGACGCUGAGGAGCGAAAGCAUGGGGAGCGAACAGG
Molecule: ribosomal RNA, 253 nt
Filed under: uncultured bacterium
Lineage: Bacteria
Description: partial 16S ribosomal RNA
Rfam family: Bacterial small subunit ribosomal RNA
Source: RNAcentral